This 440-nucleotide ribosomal RNA is filed under the name uncultured bacterium. RNAcentral's name for it is "partial 16S ribosomal RNA". It matches the Rfam family "Bacterial small subunit ribosomal RNA", at positions 338 to 795 of the family's 1533-position model. The record is from RNAcentral.
CCUACGGGAGGCAGCAGUGGGGAAUAUUGCACAAUGGGGGAAACCCUGAUGCAGCAACGCCGCGUGAGUGAAGAAGGUUUUCGGAUUGUAAAGCUCUGUUAGCAGGGAAGAGGAAGGACGGUACCUGCAGCGGAAGCCACGGCUAACUACGUGCCAGCAGCCGCGGUAAUACGUAGGUGGCAAGCGUUGUUCGGAAUAACUGGGCGUAAAGGGUGCGUAGGCGGAAUGCCAAGUCAGCGGUAAAAUCGCGGGGCUCAACCUCGCUCCGCCGUUGAAACUGGCGUUCUUGAGUGGGCGAGAAGUAUGCGGAAUGCGUGGUGUAGCGGUGAAAUGCAUAGAUAUCACGCAGAACUCCGAUUGCGAAGGCAGCACACCGGCGCCCAACUGACGCUGAAGCACGAAAGCGUGGGUAUCGAACAGGAUUAGAUACCCCUGUAGUC